UGGAAUGGCUUACGAGACCAAC
Molecule: microRNA, 22 nt
Filed under: Caenorhabditis briggsae
Lineage: Eukaryota; Metazoa; Nematoda; Chromadorea; Rhabditida; Rhabditidae
Description: cbr-miR-7596
Source: miRBase by way of RNAcentral